CGACCCCAGGUCAGGCAGGAUCACCCGCUGAGUUUAAGCAUAUCAAUAAGCGGAGGAAAAGAAACUAACAAGGAUUCCCUUAGUAAUGGCGAGCGAACCGGGAAGAACCCAGCUUGAAAAUCGGACGUCUUCGGCGAUCGAAUUGUAGUCUGGAGAAGCGUCCUCAGCGACGUACCGGGCCCAAGUUCCCUGUAAAGGGGCGCCAGAGAGGGUGAAAGCUCCGUCGUGCCCGGACCCUGUUGCACCACGAGGUGCUGUCUACGAGUCGGGUUGCUUGGGAAUGCAGCCCCAAUCGGGCGGUAAAUUCCGUACAAGGCUAAAUAUGGGCAAGAGACCGAUAGCGAAUAAGUACCGCGAGGUAAAGAUUAAAAGGACUUUGAAAAGAGAGGCAAAGAGUGCUUGAAAUUGUUGGGAGGGAAGCUGAUGGGGGCCGUCGAUUCUUCCCGGUCGGAUGCGGAACAGAGCAAUCCGGUCCGCCGAUCGAUUCGGGCUGUUGACCAAUGCGGAUUAAGAUGGUGACCUAAGCCUGGGAUUUUGUUACGCCCGCGGAGACGUUGCUAACUUAAUCGUGGUCUGCAGCACGCGC
RNAcentral lists this non-coding RNA (586 nucleotides) under Brassica napus (rape). RNAcentral describes it as "Eukaryotic large subunit ribosomal RNA". It matches the Rfam family "Eukaryotic large subunit ribosomal RNA", at positions 1 to 585 of the family's 3401-position model. Lineage: Eukaryota; Viridiplantae; Streptophyta; Magnoliopsida; Brassicales; Brassicaceae. The record is from Rfam by way of RNAcentral.